Molecule: ribosomal RNA, 584 nt
Filed under: Pseudeurotium sp. OTU018 AN-2016
Lineage: Eukaryota; Fungi; Ascomycota; Leotiomycetes; Thelebolales; Pseudeurotiaceae
Description: eukaryotic LSU rRNA
Rfam family: 5.8S ribosomal RNA (bases 233-386)
Source: RNAcentral
UCUUGGUCAAUUUAGAGGAAGUAAAAGUCGUAACAAGGUUUCCGUAGGUGAACCUGCGGAAGGAUCAUUAAAGAGACGUUGCCCUUCGGGGUAUACCUCCCACCCUUUGUUUAUUAUACCUUUGUUGCUUUGGCGGGCCCGUCCUCGGACCACCGGCUUCGGCUGGUCAGUGCCCGCCAGAGGACCUAAAACUCUGUUUGUUCAUAUUGUCUGAGUACUAUAUAAUAGUUAAAACUUUCAACAACGGAUCUCUUGGUUCUGGCAUCGAUGAAGAACGCAGCGAAAUGCGAUAAGUAAUGUGAAUUGCAGAAUUCAGUGAAUCAUCGAAUCUUUGAACGCACAUUGCGCCCCCUGGUAUUCCGGGGGGCAUGCCUGUUCGAGCGUCAUUACAACCCUCAAGCUCUGCUUGGUAUUGGGCUCUGCCGGUCCCGGCAGGCCUUAAAAUCAGUGGCGGUGCCAUUCGGCUUCAAGCGUAGUAAUUCUUCUCGCUUUGGAGACCCGGGUGCGUGCUUGCCAGCAACCCCCAAUUUUUUCAGGUUGACCUCGGAUCAGGUAGGGAUACCCGCUGAACUUAAGCAUAUCAA